RNAcentral lists this transfer RNA (75 nucleotides) under Thermoplasmata archaeon. Its description in RNAcentral is "tRNA-Pro". It matches the Rfam family "tRNA". Rfam says of the family: Transfer RNA (tRNA) molecules are approximately 80 nucleotides in length. Their secondary structure includes four short double-helical elements and three loops (D, anti-codon, and T loops). Further hydrogen bonds mediate the characteristic L-shaped molecular structure. tRNAs have two regions of fundamental functional importance: the anti-codon, which is responsible for specific mRNA codon recognition, and the 3' end, to which the tRNAs corresponding amino acid is attached (by aminoacyl-tRNA synthetases). tRNAs cope with the degeneracy of the genetic code in two manners: having more than one tRNA (with a specific anti-codon) for a particular amino acid; and 'wobble' base-pairing, i.e. permitting non-standard base-pairing at the 3rd anti-codon position. The record is from RNAcentral. Lineage: Archaea; Methanobacteriati; Thermoplasmatota; Thermoplasmata.
GGGCCCGUAGGGUAGCUUGGUCCAUCCUCCCAGCUCGGGGAGCUGGAUACCGGAGUUCAAAUCUCCGCGGGCCCA